This is a long non-coding RNA of Melitaea cinxia (Glanville fritillary), 101 nucleotides long. RefSeq lists it as uncharacterized. Lineage: Eukaryota; Metazoa; Arthropoda; Insecta; Lepidoptera; Nymphalidae. The transcript is spliced from 3 exons. The record is from RefSeq and is a predicted model, not a curated record.
UUUUAUUUGCAAUUUAUUUAAAAAAAAGUUAUAGUUUAUUAAUUGAGAAGAAACAGGUCCUACUAGCCUAUUCUAGCUCCCGAUAUCUAAGUCUAUUUGUA